Molecule: small RNA, 1116 nt
Filed under: Arabidopsis thaliana (thale cress)
Lineage: Eukaryota; Viridiplantae; Streptophyta; Magnoliopsida; Brassicales; Brassicaceae
Description: ATSL120930
Source: RNAcentral
ACUAAUUUUCAACAAAACUAUCAUAAUUACAUUGUUGCAGAGAACCAUAAUAUCUCAAUAGCGACAUGUUCAAAAAAGAUGGUCAACUUUAUAGAGAUAGCUACUAAAAAUGUAUGCAAAAACAAACGUCAAAGAUUAGUCUUUAAGACUUGGUAUUUUCAAGAACAUCUUUGUAUCUUCUUCCUCACAUCUUUGUUCAAACAUUUUCUAAGAUUCAGAAGUCUAAGAGAAAGAAUCAUGAUUUUUCUCAUUGUUCUACUCUCUCUCUCUCGAAAAUCCGUUUUUCUUCUUCAUCAGAAUCUUCUUUCACUUCAAAGUUAGAUUUCUUUCCAAACCACAAUGACUUUCAUCAGAAUUCUCUUGUGAUAACUAUUGAUCUAUAUGGUAAAGGUAACUUUACUAACGUUCAAAAGGCCAUCGAUGUUGUACCUGAUUUAAGCUCUUCCAAGACUCUCAUCAUCAUCAAUUCAGAAGUUUACAUGUUGUUACUCAACUUUAUAACACAUGUUCUUUAUGUUCUCUGUUCUAGACUUCUACUGAUGUAUGGUUUCACUGGAAAAACAGGGAAAAAGUUAAGGUUGGUGUAAACAAGACAAACAUAUUGAUGAAAGGCAGAGGAUAUCAAAGAACGAUCAUUGAGUGGAAUGAUACUGCGCAUUCAUCAGGAGGAACUGCAAAUAGCUUCUCUUUUGGUAUAUUUUCAGCAAAUUUCGUUGCCUAUAAUAUCAGCUUUAAGGUAAACAUAUUGUAGAUCUCUCAAGUUAUAACCUAAUUCGUUUAUAUCGUUGAGUUCUCAUAUGUUUUGUUAUAACCAAUCUUAAGAGCCUAAUUCGUUUCAUAUGUGUUGUUAUGGCCAGUCUUAAAGAGCCUAAUUCGUGUAUGUUGUUGAGUUCUCAUAUGUUUUGUUAUGAUCAGUCUUAAGAGCCUAAUUCGUUUCAUAUGUUUUGUUAUAACCAGUCUUAACAGCCUACUUCGUUUUGAACCAUUAUUUAGUUACGUUUUGUGCAAACGUUAAGCUGUUUUUGAGUGAUUAUCUAGAUAAACUAUCUAGACUUAAACCAAGUGAUAUACGUGUAUCUAUAUAAAUGUACAUGUUAAUAUCUCACACAUGUGUAU